Molecule: long non-coding RNA, 182 nt
Organism: Dipodomys ordii (Ord's kangaroo rat)
Lineage: Eukaryota; Metazoa; Chordata; Mammalia; Rodentia; Heteromyidae
Exons: 2
Source: RefSeq, a predicted model, not a curated record
UUAUUUAAUGGUGUUUUUAAUUUGUGUUGUAGAACUCCAGAGGACUUGGAUCUCAGCUAAAGGACAGUAUUCCAGUUACUGAACUUUCAGCAAGUGGGCCUUUUGAAAGUCAUGAUCUUCUUCGGAAAGGUUUUUCUUGUGUGAAAAAUGAACUUUUACCAAGUCAUCCUCUUGAAUUGUCA